This 196-nucleotide small nuclear RNA is filed under the name Nicotiana sylvestris (wood tobacco). RNAcentral's name for it is "U2 spliceosomal RNA". It matches the Rfam family "U2 spliceosomal RNA". Rfam says of the family: U2 is a small nuclear RNA (snRNA) component of the spliceosome (involved in pre-mRNA splicing). Complementary binding between U2 snRNA (in an area lying towards the 5' end but 3' to hairpin I) and the branchpoint sequence (BPS) of the intron results the bulging out of an unpaired adenosine, on the BPS, which initiates a nucleophilic attack at the intronic 5' splice site, thus starting the first of two transesterification reactions that mediate splicing. The record is from Rfam by way of RNAcentral. RNAcentral also lists the same sequence under 1 other name. Lineage: Eukaryota; Viridiplantae; Streptophyta; Magnoliopsida; Solanales; Solanaceae.
AUAUCUUUUUCGGCCUUUUGACUAAGAUCAAGUGUAGUAUUUGUUCUUAUCAAUUUAAUAUUUCAUAUGUGAGUUAUCCACUCACAUGAUAUUAACUUAUUUUUUUAAGGGAGAAGGUCCAUCAUAAUAGCUCGCUAUCAGGGCCUUCAUGUGUCGCCUAGGUGUUGCACUAUUGCCUUGGCGUGGCGCACCCCAC